RNAcentral lists this ribosomal RNA (461 nucleotides) under Acinetobacter junii. RNAcentral's name for it is "bacterial SSU rRNA". It matches the Rfam family "Bacterial small subunit ribosomal RNA", at positions 11 to 473 of the family's 1533-position model. The record is from RNAcentral. Lineage: Bacteria; Pseudomonadati; Pseudomonadota; Gammaproteobacteria; Moraxellales; Moraxellaceae.
GUUUGAUCAUGGCUCAGAUUGAACGCUGGCGGCAGGCUUAACACAUGCAAGUCGAGCGGAGAUGAGGUGCUUGCACCUUAUCUUAGCGGCGGACGGGUGAGUAAUGCUUAGGAAUCUGCCUAUUAGUGGGGGACAACAUUCCGAAAGGAAUGCUAAUACCGCAUACGCCCUACGGGGGAAAGCAGGGGAUCUUCGGACCUUGCGCUAAUAGAUGAGCCUAAGUCGGAUUAGCUAGUUGGUGGGGUAAAGGCCUACCAAGGCGACGAUCUGUAGCGGGUCUGAGAGGAUGAUCCGCCACACUGGGACUGAGACACGGCCCAGACUCCUACGGGAGGCAGCAGUGGGGAAUAUUGGACAAUGGGCGGAAGCCUGAUCCAGCCAUGCCGCGUGUGUGAAGAAGGCCUUUUGGUUGUAAAGCACUUUAAGCGAGGAGGAGGCUACUUAGAUUAAUACUCUAGGAU